Small nuclear RNA from Nannospalax galili (Upper Galilee mountains blind mole rat), 107 nucleotides. The record is from Ensembl. Lineage: Eukaryota; Metazoa; Chordata; Mammalia; Rodentia; Spalacidae.
GUGCUCAAUUUAGAAGCACAAAACAUUACAUUUUGAAACAAUACAGAGAUGAUUAGCAUGAAUUCUUCAAGGAUGCCAUGCAAAUUUGUAACACUGUCCAUAUUUUU